GACCAGAUAAUCUAAACAAGAUACUUCGCUGUAAACGAAACCAUAAGACAAAAACUCUUUCUAGCCA
This 67-nucleotide transfer RNA is filed under the name Rossellidae sp. DVL-2014. RNAcentral describes it as "tRNA-Thr". The record is from RNAcentral. Lineage: Eukaryota; Metazoa; Porifera; Hexactinellida; Lyssacinosida; Rossellidae.